This 202-nucleotide long non-coding RNA is filed under the name Pan troglodytes (chimpanzee). Its description in RNAcentral is "lincRNA". The record is from RNAcentral. Lineage: Eukaryota; Metazoa; Chordata; Mammalia; Primates; Hominidae.
AAACCAUGCUUUGUAGAAUGGAUCCUGCUUCGGAAUUGCUGAUCUCAUCAACCACAUGUUUAUAGAGAGAGCAGUGGCCCUUAAGGAACUGGAGAGAAUGCUCUGAUUUACUUCUGUCCGGCCUGGUGAACAGCAGGAAUGGCUGUAGCUGUUCUCUUUGCCAAGGACAGAUCUGAUCUGAUUGCCUUGAGGUGAAAGUGAG